UGUUUUGAAUGUUCAUUACCAGAUAAAACACUUAUCCAAAGGUAUAUAACGAGACUCCCAGUCAACAUGUGUAAUUUUACUAGAAUCGUUCAAAUGGAUUUUUCGUACAAUCAGAUAAAAAGAAUUGACAACAUUUCUUGCAUCAAAAGCUUAGACACUCUGAAAAUGCGUAAAAACAAAAUAGAAUAUUUGAGGAGCGAUACUUUUAGCGGAAUGAAAUAUUUACGCAAUAUUGACCUUUCAUACAACCGUUUGAGGUACAUAGAACCAGGAUUAUUAUUAAACAUGGCUGCAAGUCUUCUUAAUUUUGAUGUGUCUAAUAAUCUAUUGACCACAGUAGAUAUCACCAAUAUUUUGUGGGAAAAUCAACCAGCGUUUUGCGAAACCGAUUUUUCCUUCAAUAAGAUAACAAGUAUAAGCAAUCAACUAGAUUGGACAUGCAAAAGGAAUACACAAUUUGGAUAUGGAGGAUACGUUAAUUUAUCUAACAAUAAUUUGUCACAUUUUGUAAAAUUUUAUAAAAUAGGAUUUAGAAAUAUCUUUUUUUUUUAGGAAAACUGCUAUCCUAUGGAUUUGAUUUACGAGAAAACAAUUGGAUAUGUGACUGCCAGAUGUAUUUAUUAGCAUCAAAAUCGUCUAUUCUUUUAGAUAAGAUGCAUAGAUCCUAUUUCGAAGUAACUUGCCAUUCUCCUCCAGAAUUGAAAAAUGUGCUUCUAAUUGACAUAAUUAAACACCAAUCUCUUGAUCGUUUAAUUUGUAAUUUAACAAUUGCUGACAGAUGUCCUCCAAAGUGUCGCUGUUUUUACCAGCCUAGUAGAUCCAGAACUGUAGUGGAUUGUUCCAGAACGG
This 849-nucleotide long non-coding RNA is filed under the name Mytilus galloprovincialis (Mediterranean mussel). Lineage: Eukaryota; Metazoa; Mollusca; Bivalvia; Mytilida; Mytilidae. The record is from RNAcentral.